This 252-nucleotide ribosomal RNA is filed under the name uncultured bacterium. RNAcentral describes it as "partial 16S ribosomal RNA". It matches the Rfam family "Bacterial small subunit ribosomal RNA", at positions 524 to 776 of the family's 1533-position model. The record is from RNAcentral.
UACGUAGGGAGCAAGCGUUGUCCGGAAUUACUGGGUGUAAAGGGAGCGUAGGCGGGAUGGCAAGUUGGGUGUUAAAUCUACCGGCUCAACUGGUAGUCGCACUCAAAACUGCUAUUCUUGAGUGAAGUAGAGGCAGGCGGAAUUCCUAGUGUAGCGGUGAAAUGCGUAGAUAUUAGGAGGAGCACCAGUGGCGAAGGCGGCCUGCUGGGCUUUUACUGACGCUGAGGCUCGAAAGCGUGGGGAGCAAACAGG